UCUCCCAGGAUGCACUUGGAAAGUACCUGCCUGGAAGUUAGUGCAGUUAGAGUGUCCAGGAGACUGCUCUCCCGUUCAUUGUAGAAUUCUAGUAAGGAGAGGGAGCUGCGUCCCGGGACGUGACACUGACAGCGGCUGAGCGGAAUUAUUUGAUGUCUUCAAACAAAAUUUUGCGCUCUCCAUUAUUUUGUGCUUCUAUUGUGGUUAUUCUUGCUAAACGCUGAGGACCAGUUCAACACACAGCCCUUUCUUCACAGUCCAUAAUAAGCUGCUUUAAAUGUGAGUCCCCAAGCUUUAUCUGGUCAGUUCGUUCCAGGCAUAUAGGAGUUAAUGUUCUGGAAGGCUGGGACCAAAGAGGGAGCUUGGAGACCAACAGAAAGUGAUCCAGCCCUCUCUGCAGAGACCUAACACAGAGCACUGCACAGAGUAAACCUCAAACCUGCUGCCUGCAGUAGCUUAGCUGAAGAGAGGCCUGGAUAUCUGUUUUGCCUACCGGAGCUCGGAUUCCUCAGCUCUCCGGUGCAUGGCAGC
This is a long non-coding RNA of Pseudophryne corroboree (corroboree frog), 531 nucleotides long. RefSeq lists it as uncharacterized. The record is from RefSeq and is a predicted model, not a curated record. Lineage: Eukaryota; Metazoa; Chordata; Amphibia; Anura; Myobatrachidae. The transcript is spliced from 4 exons.